Molecule: transfer RNA, 62 nt
Filed under: Botrylloides giganteus
Lineage: Eukaryota; Metazoa; Chordata; Ascidiacea; Stolidobranchia; Styelidae
Description: transfer RNA-Gly(AGR)
Source: RNAcentral
AAGUUAUUAGUUUAAUAAAAAUAAAUGUUUUCUAUACAUUAGAUGGGGAGUCUCAUAAUUUA